CGCCGCGGUAAUACGUAGGGUGCAAGCGUUGUCCGGAAUUAUUGGGCGUAAAGAGCUCGUAGGCGGUGUGUCACGUCUGCCGUGAAAACCUGCGGCUUAACCGUGGGCGUGCGGUGGAUACGGGCAUCACUUGAGUUCGGUAGGGGAGACUGGAAUUCCUGGUGUAGCGGUGGAAUGCGCAGAUAUCAGGAGGAACACCGGUGGCGAAGGCGGGUCUCUGGGCCGAUACUGACGCUGAGGAGCGAAAGCGUGGGGAGCGAACAGGAUUAGAUACCCUGGUAGUCCACGCCGUAAACGUUGGGCGCUAGGUGUGGGGCGCUGUUCACGUGUCCCGUGCCGUAGCUAACGCAUUAAGCGCCCCGCCUGGGGAGUACGGCCGCAAGGCUAAAACUCAAAGGAA
RNAcentral lists this ribosomal RNA (400 nucleotides) under Saccharomonospora sp. 42-82. RNAcentral's name for it is "bacterial SSU rRNA". It matches the Rfam family "Bacterial small subunit ribosomal RNA", at positions 513 to 909 of the family's 1533-position model. The record is from RNAcentral. Lineage: Bacteria; Bacillati; Actinomycetota; Actinomycetes; Pseudonocardiales; Pseudonocardiaceae.